This is a non-coding RNA of Candidatus Liberibacter africanus PTSAPSY, 391 nucleotides long. The record is from Rfam. NCBI's taxonomy places the organism in Bacteria, Pseudomonadati, Pseudomonadota, Alphaproteobacteria, Hyphomicrobiales, Rhizobiaceae.
GCUCUUCCAAUAUCAAUAAAAUACAGCUAUAAUAACCAUGCUAUUAUAGAAAUUCUAUAUAGCUAUGACGAUAAAUAGUCAACGAAAUAAACUUAUUGGACCCGGGGGCGGUACCCGGCGCCUCCACCAUUAGAGACGCAUUAAUCAUUAUGACGGUAUAUGAUUCAUAAUGAAUGAUUGAGGGGGCGAAAUAGGAUAGACAAAAGCAUAAAGGUUGGGUGUUCGUUCGGUAUGGUACCACCGUUAUCGGGCUAAAAAUGUAGUUGCAAAUGACAACAACAGUAGAGUAAAUCUCGCUGCCGCUUCUUAGUCGGUGUGAUUUCUCAUUUUAACUCCUGAUGGGACACUAUCAGGCGGGGUUUGGAGGCACCUGGCAACAGAAGCCUCCAUA